CAAACAUUUGCCUUAUGUAGAGACACUGAUCAUUUUACAAACAUGCAAGCAGGGGAGUUUCCUGCUGUUGAGGAUCCGCGACAUAGCCUAGGCAUUCUCAGCCGGCCUUCCUUGCUUUUCUCCCCUCCUCCCACUAUACUCAUUUUUUUUCUGAAUGGGUGUCCUCUGUCUAACCUCUCAAUUCAGAAUGUUGAAACAGGACACUGUGCUGAACAGUGAUAGGUUGCCAGAGAAAUGCUCAGCCCCUCAAAGCCAGCUAUAGGACCUCUGGGAGUCAGUCUGCAGUGUAUAACUGCUUGACGAGAGAGAGAGAAAGAGAGAGAGAGAGAGAAGGAGGGCCAUUCUAGAGGAAGGGAGGGAGCAACUCGGAGCGAGAGAGCGAGGGAGGGAGAGGAUUUUAAAUCCGAUGACAGUGAUAACAGUGAUAGUCAGCUCAGGCUCGAGUGGCGGAAGGGUCUCAGCUGAAUCAGGAAGCCACCUCUGGUUUGACAUAUACAGCUUUUAUCACCAAUGUUGCUGUCACUUUAAGACUGUUACUGAUUAGCCGCCGAAGACUGACUGGACAGAGAAAAAAGGACAGACCAAAAAAGAGAGACAGAAAGGAAGAGAGAAGGAGAGAGUUUCAAGCUGGGAAUCACAUGGAGAACACCAAGGCUGAACAGGGAGAAGACUGAGACUCAGCACAUGCAAGCAACAUUCAGCCAUCAGGAAAUACUCCUUUCACCCAGACUGAGUAAGUGAACAAGGGGGGGUGGGUGUUAGGGGGGGAGACAGAAAGCUCUGUCUACUAAUGGAUAUCAUAUGGCGCAUGUUAAAAUUGAGAAAUUGUUUGCAGAUUUGUGAUAACUAGUCUUGAGAAAAGUUAGAAUUAUAAAAAAUAAAAUAAAAAUUGUGCUUUAUGUUAAUGUAUAUUAAUUAUAUGUGUGCAUGUGUUUUUGGUUUGUUAGUGCUUAUGUGGCUACAUGUGCUUUGUGUGGCUAGGACUGCCAUUUAUUAAGUGUUCUUGCUUUCUCAACGUGUCACAUGAGGAACCUUAUUGGGGGGGAUAGCUCUUGUGGUAAAUGAAACUGAUUUUUGAGCUGCCAUAGGAGACAGGUCUGGAUUUUUUGUGGUAUGACAGCUUAGGCUGUCUUUUUGCUUUUGUAUGGAAUAAAUUUAGCUGCUCCCUGCACAGGCUAAUCUUUUUUUUUUUUUUUUAAAUUAGAGGGGAAUUCCCCUUGGUGGCAAUCAUGAGAUACCCCCCCCCAGUAAGUUGUGGCUGCUUCUAGUGAAUUCUGAAUGAGGAACUAUGUACACACUGUCCUAUACAGCACAGUGCUGUUUCUUAUGAAUGAAUGGGCUAGAGAAAGUCCAGCGCUGAUUGGUCAGUUGCUUUUGGCUAAUCAGAUGACAAGCUCUCUGAUUAGCCCAUGAGUGGUCGGUCAGUGGGUGGAGUUACCGGUCUUCAGACUUACAGUGCCUUCUGCCUUUUACUGACCAGCUGUUAGGGUGACGCUGGACCGAAAUCUAUUGGACAAAAGCUAUUGGUGUGUAUGUAUGUGUGUGUGUAGUCACUGGACACACACAGCAUGCAAGUAAGCAGGCAUGCUGGAUUUGGCCUCUUGCCCAGCUGUUGUUCAUCAUAAUACAGAGUAAAGUCAUAAAGUUGACCUUUAUAAAGUAAGCAUUAACUGCCAAUAAUGUUUUGUCUCAGGAAAUUAUUUAAUUGCUGCCAAAGCACAGAGUCCAGGGACAUCAGAACAUCUGAUUUGGUUAAAUUAUAUUGCAGCUCUUAGUUUUAAAUUAAGGAAAUGCAGUUGCUAGAAAUAUUAAUAGUAAUAUAUUGCUCUUUUAAAUUCAAGAGGUCUAAAUGAUAAAGAAAUGUUAUAUAGACAAAUUAUAUCUCAGUUUUGGGGGGGGGGGGGGGGGGGUUGGGAAAGAGAUAGAAAAUACUUAUUGCAUAAUUAAUUUUUAAGCCAUCACUUUGUGAAAAAUUUUGUAUAAGUUCAGUUAGUAGAUACACCGCUAACUAAAGUGUACCAUUGCCACCAAGCUGUAGUGACGGAACUCAGACUCAGACCAGCCUAUAAAGGUGCAAAGGCCACUAAACUGCUGCCACACUAACCUAAUUAUUUUCCUUCCGGAAACUAGCUCACACAAUAGCCUCCCUAAAAUUAGACCUCAAGGCUAGCGGCCACCAUUGGAGGCUCCGAGCGGAAGUGGAAGACUGAGAGAGUGGGUGUGGGGAGGGUGUGUGCGGGUUUCUGUUGGACUGGUGCUUUGUCCCUCUAGAAAGGAAUGUGGCGGUCACACAUUGACCUCUGUGCGUGCAACAUGCUUUCAUGGGAAGGUGCAGCUCCCUGGCCCCCUCCCGCCAUCGGCCUCACGUACCGUCACACACCCUCUGUGCUUUAGUACCAUAUAAUACUAACCACUCCCAAACCCCUCUAUCUAUCUGUGCCAAGAUCUAUUCACAUUUUCACCGUAAAUGAUGCCUGCUCAGGAUGUUAACUCUGUGGACUGCCAUAUGGAAAAGAAGGCAUGUUUGUGUGUGGAAGUCACAAUAUAUUUCUCUCACUUUAAGAAUUAGAUCAGACUCAAAACACUGCUUUGCUUGUCUCUAAUAACAACUCCAAAGCAGAUAUUGGUAUGGUAUUAUAAUUUAUAUUCAGAUAGUAUUCUUAUUUAAUUAUUAACAAGAUCUUGGAUUAAUGUGGUAUAAUCAAACUACUCAUAUUUACUUCAAAUAGUACUUAAAGAGUGUAAUGUGUUAUAAGCAGCAUUAAAUAUGUAUAUGUUAAUUUGGGCGUCACCAUUUUUGAGCUCACAUUUGCAGGAGUUUCGUCGCUACUAGUGAAUCAUCAUGGUUUGGAUUUUUUUUUGUAAGGGAGAGAAUAAAGUACUUAUUUUUCACUUGCUCUGUCAGACGUUACACCUACUCUCACUGAGGUAGGAGUGGCUGGUGGAAAGGUGCUGGGCAUACACUGGCACGUAACACCCAGGUGGAGAGUGUAAGGUAACACAUACGUGUACCAAGGGGUGUGUACCAUUAUAAUGAUGUCACUAAGUAGGUUAUUGUGCCAUGACUACCAUACGUGUCCCACAGGCCAAGCUUGUAUAUCUUGAGUGAUUCCAGAAGAACUCCAAGAUCAGAUUAUCCUUUUGCUGGGCUUACACUAGUCUGUUUACACAACAACUGAAGUCUCAGUUGUUAAGACCAGCAUCCUGUAAGAGACGUGGAUUCCUUACCCACUUUAUCUUCUUACCUCACUGAUGUUGGUAAUGACAGUUGAGAUAUGAUAGCAGAUGUGGUUGUGUGACUGUGAGGGUGUGUGCAUGACGUACGAACUCAGGUAAUGGCAGGGCAUGCACUUGCACACACCCUUCUUUGUGCGUGUCACCAUGCCCAUAUUUGGCCAGUGUUUCCUCUCCUGGGCAACACACAGGCAGUGCAUUGAACUGCAGUAAACCUAGAGUAGUCAGAAAGUGACUCCACAAGUGGACACACCUCAUGGAACAGGAGAAUCAUUGGAGAUGGGAAAACCAUCACCAGCCAUUCCCAGUUAAAAAAUGCUAUACCUUUGUAGGACAGCAUAUUGGUUAUAGCACAAUGUGUGGAGGUUUAACAUAUGUUAAUUUUUAACCUAAUUCAAUGUUAAGCAAACCCUACAAAUAUCACAAAAACCUUUUUAUACAUAGUUUGCUCCUGUAUAGUAAAAAAAAAUCAACUGUUUUUGUUUAAUGUUAAGGAAGAAGACACUGGUGAGCUUAGCAAUAGCAAAUGAAGAUGAACACUUACCUUAGUUAUGGAAUGGAGAAAAAAAUAUCUGAUAUGAUUGAACAUGUAUGGCUGCCAGCUGAACUGACACAGGAGAGGGCAGUAGUGGCAGACCAAAGAAAACAUGUCUUUAUUCACGAUGUGUCUGCAUAGCAUUAUUGAUGAUAAAUUCAUCAGAAUUAUAUAGAAACCUUUCAAGUGCUCAGAUCCCAACCAAAUCCCUCAAUGCUUCAAUGUCUAUCGGCAUACUCAACUAAAACAUACUACUAAAGCAACAGGGACAAUGAUUGGAACAUUCCUGACAUGAACCACACUGAAAAUGCACCUUAUUUAUCAAAGACAAAGGUAAAACUCAACCACCACCCUUUUUUACGCAGUGGCAAAAACCACUCGUUCAAUGAUCCGUUCAUUCUAAACUGAACCUACUCUGCUCUGAUUGGUCAGAUGUCCCAGUCUGUUGUGAUUGGUCUACCUUACAGCACGUGUCAGAAAGGGAACACCCACUACAAUAUCCGAGUUUACCAUAUCCACAAUAAUGUGUGCACUGCUCUAACCUGCCAAUUAUUGAUGCUCCUGUUGGAGACAAUUGGUGCACUGGCAGGCCAAACUCUUUACUGCCUCCAUGAUGUGCACAGCAAGGUGGAAGGGAUUCAGUCAUCAGAAGCAGGGUCAGUGUGCUCCUAAACAGAGUGGGUAUUAUGGCUAUUUUAAGGAGCGUUGUGCUGCUCUAAUGGAACGGAAUUUAUCGGUCUUCAUUUAGAUGUAAUGCUAUACACUUGAGCAUGGUUCAAGAGCACGACCGGACCUUGGGCAACUCAGAGAGUUAUUUAUACUGAAGAACAUAAAUCCUUUGCACUUCAGUCCAGUGUAUGUGUGUAUGUGUUCUUCCAGUGUGCUGAAAAGAAGCAUUGCCUCAACAGUACUGUGGUAAUGAAGUUGACUGUGGCUGUGAAUGUCAGCCUGAAUGGUAGAGGAUGUGUAUUUACAGUAUGCAUGUGUGUAUGCCUCUAUGGCUCACAUGUCACUUUGCUCCACAUUGCGGUGAAAGAUUUCUUUUUACCUUGAACUUGGUCUACCCACAGACUUUUUACCCUAAGUCCUGCAUUAAAGAGCCAUAAAGCAAAUGAACUUCCCAGUCCUCCUGUCAGCCUGCUUUCUCCAGUGGCAAGGAUUUCUUGUAUUCCAUGACCUCUGAAGGUAAAAGGAGACUGUGUGUCUUGCCUGGCCUCUUGGAGGUUAUCAACAUUUUUGAAACUGGUCAGAACCAGUUAUGCUUACCUUCCCAGUUUUGAGCAAUCAGCUAAUGGAAUUAUAUGAUAAAAGUCAGUAGCACCCCUACACUCUGUGUGGAGCAAGUAAGUAGAAGUUGAGUGAAAUGAAUCCCUUCCCGGCUUCUGAUGAGGUCCAGACCACGGAUCCCAGACCUAACCCUUCAUCAGGCUUUAUGCAGCUGAAGGCUCUUCCUCAAAUUAAAUUAGACUUUAAAAACAACCCAUCAGCCUCUGGAAUGUAAGGGGACCACCUCAUGAAGGUAAUACAUCUGUGUUUUGACCCAUGAAGUUCCCCAAUUCUCUACCCGCUUUCAUGAGAUAACUCUGGGAAUAUAGCCAUGUUCUAGGCAUCAAGAGUGUAUCUUCAGAGGAAGUCACAACAGUAACUGACAUUUUCAGCCUUCUUUCAACAUGACGACAGGAAAAUGGCAAAAGACAGAGGGUCUUCAGAAGAAAAAAAAAUCGAUUUUAAUCAGGGUGUGAGCACUGGCUGGAAGAGAUAUAGGAGUUUAGAGGUUUCUGUUAUGGUGUCAUAAGUAAAAAUGGGUCUGGAUUGGUUGUGAUUGUGUCGGUGGGGCUGCUGAUAAGAGUGUGAAGGAAAUAUCACUUUGGACAGUGUUCACCUCUCUUCAGCUAAUAUGAGCAGUACUGAGCAUGGGGUUUGACAGGCUGUGGGUUGUGUUUGUGCAUUUAUUUAUGGAGUUUGCUGACAUUGAUUCUCACAUUGUCAUUUAGAGCAAAAAAGGGACCAUAGGCAGAGUAUCAGGUUCUCUUUUGUUUUGUUUUGUUUAUGGUACACAAAUAUACAUAACAUAAUGGGGAAUUACUUGUUGUUUGACGCCAUUUGCCGUUAUGUCAGGCAAAUUAGAUGUUAAGCAAAUAUUAUUAGAUACCAUCAUUUUUCCAUGAAUUUGUUUAUUUACUUGUCUACCUGAUGACAUCUCCUGGCUUUAUGGAGCUCACUGAUUGGAAAUUGCCUAAUGUGAGUUGCAUAAGGUAGAACUGUAAUUUAAAUGCAAUUGUAUUGCAAAUAACAAAAGUUGCACAAAAGUUGCAUCAUGUAACCCCAGCUUUGCACCCAAACAGGAACACAUUCACACAAACCCCUACACUCACACUUUCUCCUUCCCCCUCUCUGUGCUGCCCCACCUCCUCUGGUGGGUGAGGGCAAUGAUUCAGUUCCUGUUCAGUGGCAGACCACGUUGACAGAACUCUGGUCAGGGGCUUGGCUGUUGCUCCUCUCAGAAUGUGGAUGUGGUCAGGCCCAGUCAUCUCUCAGGCAUCUUGGAGGAAACCCACAUCAACUGAAACACGCUGGGUCUCCAGGAAUAACCUUGCCAGCAAGACUACCCCCCCCCCCCCACCCCCCAACUCUAAACCGUACCCUCCCAUUUUUAGCCCUAGAGCCAUGAUAGUAAAAAUAGUGAGGAGCAGUACCCAGAAAGCAAGCUGUGGAUCUGCCAAAUAUCUACUCCACCAUCAACAGAUCCACUGCCAGCAAAGUAGCCAUUACAGUCAGUAGAAUUAAUAGUAGUCCAUAAGUAGAUCUUCCCAAAUAGUGCCUAGUAUGUAUUUAUAAGGACUGGAAACAUUAACAGUUUAGGUUUCAGUAGUAAAAAUGCAAAUGAAAAUUUGCUAAAAUGUUGAAUAACAUUGGUCUUUGUUUUUAUACAUAUAAUAGCAUGCAUCUACGUAUCCUGGUGUCUUCAGCCAUGUUGAAAUUGAGCACUAUCAAGUCUCAAGUCUUCCACAAGGGCUCCUUCUUCUAGAAAUCUAGCUUAUUGUUUGUUUCUCUUUGUCCAGUGGAUCCUGAAGUUGGGAUGAGGUGUUGCGAGGGAAAUGCUUAGCAGUCUGCAAGAUUAGAGGCUCUUGGUAUUAUAAACUCACCACUUUACUUCUUUGUAAUAAAGAAGAAGCUCUCAGAGCACUAAUCAUUUGGAGUUAAAAUGUCGCGUGUUCUCUGGCACAGAGAGAGCCUCACUCUGGAAGAUUGGUGGAUUAGCUUGAGCAUCAUCUACUCAACAUGAGGGCUGGCUUGCUUCACGAUUUCCCAGAUGGUCAUUUUCUCAUUGUUUCUCAGUACUGGUUAUAAGGCGUUGAAAGGACACCAACUUUUAUAAAUAUGUACCAGUAGUAUUGAUAUUGUUUUCAGAAAUUGAGUUGUAAAAAUAGACUAAACAUCUAUGUUCUUUUCUUUCUCACAGGUUCAGAGAGUUCACAUUACAGUUUCAUUUUAUAUGUGAUAAUGCCAUCUUCUAGCUCUUAGCUAAGAACAGUGAAACAGAUUUUCAUUAUUAUGUUAUUAUUUUUUUUAUUCUAUUGUUGCAAAUUGCUAGACCUUUUGUGGAAAUGACAUGCUUGAAUCUAGAUCAGAGUCCAAAUGUUGCUGUCCACUUAGUGGAAAUAAAAGCAAGCGUUGUAAAAUGUCAUAAAAUAACAAAUUCUAAAAUAAAUAAUUUUAGGUUAGUUAUAAGCACUAAAUGUUAAAAUACACCACAAGUCUUUGAAGCAAUUUGGGCACUACUGAUUUGCUGAGUUUUAUUCAAUAACCACCUACUGUACAAGCUAGGAAAGCACUUUAAAAUCGAUUAUAUAGGAUAGAUCUCUGAAGCCCCUUAGCUCUUUCUUUCUCUCUGAAUUGUCUAAACCCCCUCUGAGCUGAUCACUAGACCUGGAAGGUUAUGAAUGGAAUGUUCACAAAUUCUCCUGAUGGCUACAGGUCAUUACUGAGACUGUGGCUCACGCCAGGGCAUACAGCAGAGUAGCAGCCGGAAGCAAAUACCUCCCUAGGGAACAUCAGGCUAUGUUAUCCCCCAUCCCCCCUACCACCCGCACGCAUGCAUGCACACUCACACACACACACACACACACACACGCGUGGGAGAGAACCGUCUGUAACUUUGUAACUUGUAUUUUUAAAGUAAUUUAUUUAAUGUAUGUCAUAAUAGGUGUGUGCCAUGAAACGGCACACACCUAUUAUGAGUUUGGUAUGGUAUAUAUAGUAUUGCGAGUCUUACCAUGAAGUGAAUUUCCACACAGCAUACACAGAACCAAAGAUUUCAAAACUGGUCUGGUGAGUUUUCCUAAAAAUCUGCUAUAGUGCAAUGAGAUCAGUUGUAUAUGUUGAAUUAGUAAUGGGCUACGAAGUAUCUGGAAAUUGGUGUAUUGGGAUUUCAUAGUAAUAUUGCUAUAUAUUUGUCAGUCAGGAAAGUGCUGUGGGAUAUUAACUGUUAUUUUGUAAGUUAUAUAUGACACAUCUUGAAAAGGAGCCAAAAAAUAACUAGUCAGACUGAGUAUUGUCAAUAUCAAUUAGUAUAUUUGCCAGCGAUAUGCUUUGAUAGUAAGUACUCAGUACUAAAAUAGGCCAUCAGUCAAUAUAAACUUCCUGCAGCUCAGUAAAAUCCCACUUAGUGUUUUUCUGAUAAUUAUGGCUCAACCAUUGUUCCAUUUAGUGAUCUGUAUUGUACAGUGACGUUGUGGUGGACAAUGUCUUAAAAUGCCACACAGCUUUGUCAGCACAACUAAAAAAUCAAACCACAAACACACAUUCCACUCAGUCAACAUAUCGCAAUUUUUACAUCAGCAUUUCCGAAGUAACAAGUCUGAAUUUCCAAUUUUCUGUGCACACAAAACGACAAGUUCACUCUCGCAUGACAGUGGGAACCUCAUUAUUGAAUACCCAGCCUUAUAGCUAUAUUCUAGCAACUUUAUAUUGUAUCUUCUACUGAUUGUGCCUUUACCAUGCAGGAUAAUGUCACGCUCAGAAUCUACCAGCAUCAGUCUCAGCGCCUGAUCAGGCGGGCACUGACAGUUAGCAGGGACAUUGCGCUGGAAUUUAGACAGGGUCACAAGGGUGGGAACAGUUUCCACAACAGAGAAAAAUUUGAGUCAAAUGACCAUCAGCUGGUCCAAGAAUCAAUAUGGUCACAAGGACUCAGGUAUGUUUAGCUGGAGCCACUACUGAGGAUGUGAAAUGUCUUUGCUCUCGCUGCCUUCAUUACUCACUUGUGUUCAGGGGUUUGUCUUGAACUGUUAUGUAUAUAAUUUUUUGCAUAUUUCACUUUUGCUGCACAUAACAAAAUUAAGAAGCGGUCUCAAAUGAUUGUGCAGUGAUAUUGAUCAGCAUCUGGUCAAUUGGUUUUUAAAGCAGAUUUUGGAACAGAUUUCAGUAGUCAGUCAGACUUAUCUGUUUCUUCCCAUCCAGGGUGUAUUCCUACCAGUGUUCCUGGGAUCCACCACUACCUUGAAUAGGAUAUAGUGGCUACUGAAGAUUAAUUAAUUAACAUACUGAAAGUACAAGGAAAAGUAUGUAGUUAGAUAAACAAAGGACAAGUGGAUAGGUCUAUGUCCACUUUAGGGACCUGGGAGUUAAAGGGGUCAAACAUUGGGUUCAGUGUUUGGAAUCAUAGCCUCCACUUACUUCCACUCACUCAUUCACUAUAAUAGCAAAAACAUUGUUGAAACAAAAUGCUCUGUCUAACUGGUUCACAGAAGCCUUUCGUGUGCAGCAGAACCACAGUUUAUGUUUGUAUACCUUUCUGACUGCAGGCUAAUGGGGAUGAAUGAGAGCUAUUUGCAAGCCUUAACAGUGUGCUUAGAAAAUGCCCAUCAGGAAAUUAUCCACCACCUACUGUUGUCCCCCUGUGCAUGUUUGCAUAAAGAAAGAAUGGCUCUGUUCACAAUUUCUAACCACCAACCCCUCUCUCUCUCUCUCUCUCUCUCUCUCUCUCUCUCUCUCUUCUUUCAGUGAGCAAGGAUGCCAAGGCACUGAAGCUGACUCUGUUUUACAACGAGGGCUGUUUCUGUGCCAUACUGGUUUGCUCAUGAGCUGCUCAGUAGUCAGUGUAGAUCCUGUGUUGCAAUCAGCAGCUACAUCUGGCUACUGGGUCUCUGAUGGCAUUCUGUGCUUCCUGUUGGCACAUUCCAUUCAGAUUAUGCGGUAUGUGGACUCCAUCCUGUCAUUCACAAAAUAGCACCCUCUGUAUUAGAAGGGCUGAAGACUUUCCCUGCUCUUGUUAUUUAAUUUAGCUGUCCAUAAGGGUUUCAGAAUUUGACCUCUUCACACAUCUCCAUUAGUUUAUUGUGUUUUUGGCUUAUUGUUUCUCUAAAUAAUUUGACACGCACUCUGCAUGCAGUGGUGUUGUUGAAGCAACUAGAAAUUAUUUCAGACUUCUGUUUUGACAUGGUGGUAUUGUCCGAUGAAUGGAUCCAGCCAUUGUCUCUCGACUGACUGUUGAAGAUGCAGUUUGAGUGAUUUGAUGACAAAGGAGAAGGCAAGAUGUCACAUUCUUUGUGUGAUUAGGCUGUCAUAGUGGCUGGGUUUGUGUGAAUGCCUUCAGUUGCUGACGGCUGAGAAAUAAUGAAUGUGAAUCUUUUGCACAUGCAGAAGCCCAUCACUUUGCGAGGGCGAAUGAUGAAUUCUUUUGUGUUGUCCCGAACCUGGCAUACAAUGUAGAAUUCUGUGUGGUACAAUCUACAGCUACAUUGUCUGCUGG
This is a long non-coding RNA of Ictalurus punctatus (channel catfish), 10523 nucleotides long. NCBI's taxonomy places the organism in Eukaryota, Metazoa, Chordata, Actinopteri, Siluriformes, Ictaluridae. The record is from Ensembl.